This 1582-nucleotide long non-coding RNA is filed under the name Oryctolagus cuniculus (rabbit). RNAcentral describes it as "lncRNA (ENSOCUG00000036135.1)". The record is from RNAcentral. Lineage: Eukaryota; Metazoa; Chordata; Mammalia; Lagomorpha; Leporidae.
AUGGGAAUAGUUGUAGUUUAUACAGAGAAACAGUGGGUUGGGGGAGCAGAGUGCUGGCUCUAUCUCUGGAAACAGUCCCCUUUCCAGGAUCUCCCCCAUUUCACCUGCACCGGCUACCUCAGCCCCAGAUCAUGGCUGAUUCUGCAUGAGUUGUGCACCCCUGCCAAAGGUGUUAACUCAGCCAUGUUAACCAGUGCCCCCAGCCCCAGCACACGGAGGCUUCCCAGUAAAUGCUCCCCGGUCACUCAUCUGUGUGAAGACUCCCACGCUUGUCGACAGGAGCCCCUCCUGUGUGUGGUUUUCAGAAUCUGCAUGAAAAGCCACGGGCAUUGGUCUUCAGCUUCUCCUGGGACACGGAACUUAAGCAAGAAAAACCUCCCGUGUGUCUGGAAGACGCCGAGGCCGCGGCGAGACCGCGGAGGAAACCGUGGGGAGACUGAGAGGAGGCUGCCAGAAAGAAACUCAGGGCUUCUCAGCGCGGAACUGGAAUCCUGCACCAUCUCCUGCGGCCACGUGAAUGCUCUCAGGGUUCCCGCACGUCGGGGCCGUGGCAAGGCUUUGUCCCUUCUUCCUGCCGAGUGACGCUCCAUCGCUGGACCCGCCCAUUCACCUGUUCAUGGCGUUUCUGUUCUUCAGCCGCUGUGAAUGGUGCCGCUAGGAACCUUCCAGAACAGGCCGUGUGGACGUGUCUGGUGUUCCCGCGGGCGACACCGAGGCGCUGGCCCUCGUUCCCAGGCCCCUGGCGUGGUUUCUGUUCUCACAGCAGAGGCUGCACGUCCCACACCGUGCGUCCCAUCUCUUCUUCUUACAGUCGCCCGAGAGACGUGGCCGGCCGUGUCACUGUGCAGUGGAUCUGCACGACGAUGGUGACACGUGUUGAACUGUGUCUUCCCCGGAAGACGUGUUCAGUUCUCACCCCCAGUGCGGCCGGAGGGGAUCUUGUUUGGAAGCAAGGUCUCUGUAGAGGUUAGGGCGGCUCCCACACAACCUUGUCCCACACAACCGAUGCCCUCAUUAGGAGGUGAGAGGGACCCAUGGGAAGAAGAAGGCAGGGACAGCAGGGGCAGCGGCUGGAGGGACACGGCCACAGCCGAGGACUGAGGGGCACCCAGGAGCUAGAGGAGAAAGGGCAGGGCGCCGUGCAGCUUCGAGGAGGCAUGGCCUUGGUGAGACCUUCAGUCUGGACAUCGGAGCUGAGACAGAACACAUCUCAUCUCCCCAGGUCCCCGCCGCCACCAGGCCGUCUCAGGGGUACGCCAGGAGGCCUCUGGCCAGCUAGGGGAGCCUCGUGUUUCUGUUACUAUGGCAAAACCCCCAGGGCUGGGCAGCAUCGCAUGAACCAGACGCUCCCUUUAGCCCGCAGUGUGGCGUGCGGAGGGCCUGGCACCAGCCUCAGCUCCGCUCUGCCAGGGCUCCAAGGCAGGUGGUACACGGGGACAGGAAGGCAGAGAGUGACUCGGGGUCAGGCUCAGUCUUUUCUUUAAGUUUUUAAUUAAUUUAUUUGAGAGGCAUAGUUACAAACAGUGAGAGGGAGAGCCAGAAAGAGAGGUCUUCCAUCCACUGGUUCACUCCCCAAAUGGCC